This is a long non-coding RNA of Myotis davidii, 935 nucleotides long. RefSeq lists it as uncharacterized. The record is from RefSeq and is a predicted model, not a curated record. NCBI's taxonomy places the organism in Eukaryota, Metazoa, Chordata, Mammalia, Chiroptera, Vespertilionidae. The transcript has 3 exons.
UCUCUCUCGCUCUCGCUCUCGCUCUCGCUCUCUCGUCUCUAAGAAAUAAUUAAAAAUAUUGUAAGCAUUUGAAGCUCAAUUUUCUUGAGGUCACAGUGCUUUUUUGUAGGAUACAUGCUUUUCUAAGAGAGAAAAUACCAAUUAUUCACUUAUCAUUAGGAAGGAACAUUAGUAAAGCUUUUUUCCCCCCCUAUGUAAAGCAUAUAAAUAUUCUUAAAGAGCUGUUACUAAAAAUCAGUUCUAUGCUUCUGCAGGAAUAAGUGUGUCCUCAUACUUAAUUAGAAUUUAGAAUUGAAAGUUGAAUCUUAACCUAAGAUUUUUUUUUAGAUACUGCUUGAGUAAGAUAGGCAAAGAAAAUUUUAACUUGAAUGCCAGAUUUUUAUGUAUUUGCCCUUAAGUAUAUUUUAUAUUGUUACCACUGAAGAAAUCACUAAUGGAAAUCUUUUAAUUGAAUUUAAAGAGGUAAACUCCUUUUAUAUAUUUAUAUUUAAAAAUGAGUAGCAUUGUCUAUAUCACCUUUCCAAGGAAAGAUGUACGUUUAUGGGAUAUAUUAUAUAAAAAUUAAAUACUAUCUCAUGUAAUAGUAUGAAUGGGGUGAAGGUUGAUCUCUUCAAAUACAUCAUUAAACUUGUCUUCCAUAAAUAAGUUCUUAAAUCUGUCUUUAGGAUAGAGUUUUUGACAUAAGAAAUGAAAUAGAUUCUUUUUCUUUUCUGAAUCUAAUCUGUUUUCUUUUAUCGGCCGGACACAUAGCUUGUCCUAAUUACUUUUUCUCUCAUCAACUGAAACUAUUCAUUCCAAGUAAGUGACCAGUCUUAAGCAUUUUUAUCACUCUCUCAAUCAAUACCAAUUCUUGUUAUUCUUUUGCCUAAUUCAUUUAUCAUAUAUAUUCAACAUUUGAUUUGUUUUAAACUUGACAACAUGUAUAACAGUGUUUU